AACGCUGGCGGUAUGCUUAACACAUGCAAGUCGAACGACAAAAUUGGGGCUUGCUCCAAUUUUAGUGAGUGGCAAACGGGUGAGUAACACGUGGGAAUCUACCUAUCAGUACGGAAUAACAUUUGGAAACAGAUGCUAAUACCGUAUAUUCUCCAAGGAGGAAAGAUUUAUCGCUGAUAGAUGAGCCCGCGUAAGAUUAGGUAGUUGGUAGGGGUAAUGGGCCUCCAAGCCGACGAUCUUUAGCUGGUCUGAGAGGAUGAUCAGCCACACUGGGACUGAGACACGGCCCAGACUCCUACGGGAGGCAGCAGUGGGGAAUAUUGGACAAUGGGCGAAAGCCUGAUCCAGCAAUACCGCGUGAAUGAUGAAGGCCUUAGGGUUGUAAAGUUCUUUAGUUGGAAAGAUAAUGACGGUACCAACAGAAAAAGCCCCGGCUAACUCCGUG
RNAcentral lists this ribosomal RNA (445 nucleotides) under uncultured bacterium. Its description in RNAcentral is "bacterial SSU rRNA". It matches the Rfam family "Bacterial small subunit ribosomal RNA", at positions 32 to 507 of the family's 1533-position model. The record is from RNAcentral.